AGCCAGACUCCUACGGGAGGCAGCAGUGGGGAAUAUUGCACAAUGGGGGAAACCCUGAUGCAGCGACGCCGCGUGAGUGAAGAAGUAUUUCGGUAUGUAAAGCUCUAUCAGCAGGGAAGAAAAUGACGGUACCUGACUAAGAAGCCCCGGCUAACUACGUGCCAGCAGCCGCGGUAAUACGUAGGGGGCAAGCGUUAUCCGGAUUUACUGGGUGUAAAGGGAGCGUAGACGGCAUGGCAAGUCAGAUGUGAAAGCCCGGGGCUCAACCCCGGGACUGCUCUGGAAACUGUACGGCUGGAGUGCAGGAGAGGUAAGUGGAAUUCCUAGUGUAGCGGUGAAAUGCGUAGAUAUUAGGAGGAACACCAGUGGCGAAGGCGGCUUACUGGACUGUAACUGACGUUGAGGCUCGAAAGCGUGGGGAGCAAACAGGAUUAGAUACCCCCGUA
RNAcentral lists this ribosomal RNA (446 nucleotides) under uncultured bacterium. RNAcentral describes it as "bacterial SSU rRNA". It matches the Rfam family "Bacterial small subunit ribosomal RNA", at positions 329 to 792 of the family's 1533-position model. The record is from RNAcentral.